GAUGAACGCUGGCGGCGUGCCUAAUACAUGCAAGUCGAGCGAACAGACGAGGAGCUUGCUCCUCUGACGUCAGCGGCGGACGGGUGAGUAACACGUGGAUAACCUACCUAUAAGACUGGGAUAACUUCGGGAAACCGGAGCUAAUACCGGAUAAUAUAUUGAACCGCAUGGUUCAAUAGUGAAAGACGGUUUUGCUGUCACUUAUAGAUGGAUCCGCGCCGCAUUAGCUAGUUGGUAAGGUAACGGCUUACCAAGGCAACGAUGCGUAGCCGACCUGAGAGGGUGAUCGGCCACACUGGAACUGAGACGCGGUCCAGACUCCUACGGGAGGCAGCAGUAGGGAAUCUUCCGCAAUGGGCGAAAGCCUGACGGAGCAACGCCGCGUGAGUGAUGAAGGUCUUCGGAUCGUAAAACUCUGUUAUUAGGGAAGAACAAAUGUGUAAGUAACUAUGCACGUCUUGACGGUACCUAAUCAGAAAGCCACGGCUAACUACGUG
This 497-nucleotide ribosomal RNA is filed under the name uncultured bacterium. RNAcentral's name for it is "partial 16S ribosomal RNA". It matches the Rfam family "Bacterial small subunit ribosomal RNA", at positions 28 to 507 of the family's 1533-position model. The record is from RNAcentral.